GAUAAACGCUGGCGGCGUGCUUAACACAUGCAAGUCGAACGAAGUUUUUCUUUCGGGAGGUCCUUAGUGGCGGACGGGUGAGUAACGCGUGGGUAACCUGCCCUGUACAGGGGGACAACAGCUGGAAACGGCUGCUAAUACCGCAUAAGCCCUUAGCACUGCAUGGUGCAUAGGGAAAAGGAGCAAUCCGGUACAGGAUGGACCCGCGUCUGAUUAGCCAGUUGGCAGGGUAACGGCCUACCAAAGCGACGAUCAGUAGCCGAUCUGAGAGGAUGUACGGCCACAUUGGGACUGAGACACGGCCCAGACUCCUACGGGAGGCAGCAGUGGGGAAUAUUGCACAAUGGAGGAAACUCUGAUGCAGCGACGCCGCGUGAGUGAAGAAGUAUUUCGGUAUGUAAAGCUCUAUCAGCAGGAAAGAAAAUGACGGUACCUGACUAAGAAGCACCGGCUAAAUACGUG
RNAcentral lists this ribosomal RNA (462 nucleotides) under uncultured bacterium. RNAcentral's name for it is "partial 16S ribosomal RNA". It matches the Rfam family "Bacterial small subunit ribosomal RNA", at positions 28 to 507 of the family's 1533-position model. The record is from RNAcentral.